GAGAGAGACAUGCGCGCAUAUCAAUAAGCGGAGGAAAAGAAACUAACAAGGAUUCCCUUAGUAACGGCGAGUGAAGCGGGAAGAGCUCAAAUUUGAAAUCCUCAAGGUUUUACCUUGACGAAUUGUAGUUUAAAGAAGUGUUUUCUGCUGAAGUUUUGGUAAAAGUUCUUUGGAAUAGGACAUCAUAGAGGGGUGAGAAUCCCGUAUUUGACCAUUAUUUUCAGCUUUGUGAUACACUUUCAAAGAGUCGGAUUGUUUGGGAAUGCAGUCCAAAAUGGGUGGUAAAUUUCAUCUAAAGCUAAAUAUUGGCGAGAGACCGAUAGCGAACAAGUACCGUGAGGGAAAGAUGAAAAGAACUUUGAAAAGAGAGUUAAACAGUACGUGAAAUUGUCAAAAGGGAAGCGUUUGACACCAGUGUUGUUUUCUCGAAAAUCAAUUAAAAAUGGCUCGAUUUUGUAUUGUUGAGACCUUAAAAGCUCACUGUACAUUUUUCGUGUCUUUUUUAAUGCACUUUUCGUUUAACAAGUCAACAUCAGUUUCUUUUGUUGUAAAAGGGUCAUUGGAAGGUGGCUUUCUUUUCGGAGAAAGUGUUUAUAGCCUUUGGCCUCUGCAAUCGGAGAGACUGAGGUCUGCAGCGUAGACUCUUCGGGGUUAGAUACAUUUGUGCUAAGUUAUAGCUUUUUAUAGACAACUUGUUGACUAUAAUUAGUCUUGUAGCUUACUCGCUUAUGCUAUUUUACCUACGCUUAGGAUGUUGAGUCGUAGAGCACGCAG
RNAcentral lists this ribosomal RNA (774 nucleotides) under uncultured Neocallimastigales. Its description in RNAcentral is "partial large subunit ribosomal RNA". It matches the Rfam family "Eukaryotic large subunit ribosomal RNA", at positions 23 to 634 of the family's 3401-position model. Lineage: Eukaryota; Fungi; Neocallimastigomycota; Neocallimastigomycetes; Neocallimastigales. The record is from RNAcentral.